Molecule: long non-coding RNA, 315 nt
Filed under: Nicotiana benthamiana
Lineage: Eukaryota; Viridiplantae; Streptophyta; Magnoliopsida; Solanales; Solanaceae
Description: long non-coding RNA (NBEN_LNC012529)
Source: RNAcentral
AUGCUUUUACCAACAGAAUCUAAGCACAAGCUAAACACUGAAUUAUCCGAAGGAAACCUGUUUGCCAAAACUUCCAAUGUUGACACUGCUGCCAGUUUCAAAGAACUACUUGAUUCGCUCUGUGAAUUAACUAAUUUUAAUAUCUCAAGACACAAGGUGUUUAACGAUUGCAAAGGCUCUGUGAAUUAAUUAAUUUCAAUAUCUCAAGAAACAAGGUGUUCAGCGAUUGCAAAGAAUUCGCGUCCAGAUGAAACCAUGAUCUCCUCGCAUUCAAAGCUGGACCCCUUUUUUCAUGCUUUGAGUCAACUAACCCAG